AAAACAAUUGAUAACUAAAAAAUCAACUACAAUUUUCAUUAAAUAACAUCAAGCAAAGUAUAACUAGGUAUUCCAAAAAUAAAUAUAAAAAAAUUUAAUGAGCUACAAAAACUCAAAACGAAAACAAAUAAUAGAUUGUCAUGCAAUAUCAUAUUCACAUUAAACUUGCAGAAAUAUUAUUUCUUAGAACUUCCAUUUCUCUUGCUUCAGGUCGUGUGCGGCUGCCCACGCUCGCGCACGAGCCUGCCCAUGUCCGAGCAAGGCAUGCUGCGCACACUCACGAGGAAGGCAGCGCAAGCUCGCGCGCGAGGCUACCCAUGCUCGAGCGAGUCAAGCAGCGCACACUCAUGGGCAAGGCAGCGCGCUUUCACGGGAUGAGUUUUAUUGCACAUCAACCCGUGCGGCACUUAGGCGACUUCUAGCGCACAAGUCGCUAAGUAAGUCUAGAACACUUCUCAAACUAGCGGAGCAAGAGCGCUUGCGGAAAGUGCUAGAGAGAAGUAGAGCAAUGUGGCCAAAAUAUGUUUUUUAUUACACACAAAGAAUAAAUUACAAGAGAGCUAGAGAGCUUGUGUGUGUGCUUGAGUGUUUGUGUGUGUGGUGUGGUUGGUGAGCUUUGUGGACAAAUGAGCGGGCUCACCCAUAUUUAUAGGUGUUGGAGUGCUAGAUCUAAAGAGUUUCAUGCAAGUUGCAUACAUAUCUAAGGACCUAUGUGGAGAAUCCUAGAAACUUCUAGCCUAUGUACAAUUUGUAGAGAAGCCUAGAUCUUGGGCCUUGGUGGGUGAUUUGCUAAGCGCACCACAGAUGACUUGUUGUGUUAGCGGCCCAUUUCUAAGUGCAACCCACUUCUAAGUACAUCCCCCUUCUAAGCGCACUCCACGUCGAGGCGAACUUUUGCUAAGUGGACCUGUGUGCCUAGAAUUAACCUUCGAUUGCGGGAGAUUUGGGCGGCCUGGGACAACGCACUCGCCACCAAGGCACGAAGCCCACGCUUGCGCGGGUGGUACUGCACGCUCACGGGAGGAAGUCGGCCUAGGCUUGCGUGCGGCAUGCAGCCCCCACUCGCGCGGCAAGCAACACAGGCUCGCAGGGCAGGCAGGCAGCGUGCACUUGCGAGCAAGCCAGCUCGCGCCCGGUAGUGGCAGAUCUAGAAAAAUAAUUUACCGAGGGCUAAAUUAGAUAAUAAUAAAAUAUGAAAAACUAAAAUUU
This 1209-nucleotide long non-coding RNA is filed under the name Citrus x clementina. Its description in RNAcentral is "Citrus clementina (C. clementina) long non-coding RNA (CCLE_LNC003378)". Lineage: Eukaryota; Viridiplantae; Streptophyta; Magnoliopsida; Sapindales; Rutaceae. The record is from RNAcentral.